UAAUUUCAGUUUGGGUUUUCUUUUUUACUUACACUAGUAACCAUAUGUGUUUAUGGGGAACAGCAUGAUGAUUCCAUACGUGUAUCCAUGGUGCAGUGAGCAAAUCAGGCAAAUUAACAUGGUCACGCCACCUCCUACUUACUUCUUUGUGGGCUGAAUAGGAUCGCGUACGUGUACCACAUUUUUGAAAACCACUCACUCAUGGGCAUGUGUGAGAAAUGCCCUCAUCCGUCCAAUGCCAAAGGAUGGACACGUGGAGACACGGGGGACUGGCACAUCUUCACAUUCAUCAUGUGAUUCACCAGGAUGUCAAGGUCCAGAAUGUCCUACUGACUGAGAAUGCAGAGGUCAAACUUGGUCUGUCAGGCUGAUGUGGACAGCACAUUUAAGAUUCUCAGACAGCCUGUUGUCUAGCUGUGAAGAUCUACCAGCACCACCUUACAUCUUUCAGGGGUCUUAAAAAGAGGUCUUGCAACCCAGAUUCAAAGGGAGCUUACGAACUCUCAUUGGGAGGAGUGCUGCGAUAUGCUUGCAUGGAAGGCAUUAUUGGUGGCUGUCUUUGGGAACAAUAUACCACAGAGCUGAAAGGAUCUUAGACGUCAUAGGAUCCUACUUAUUUUGGACCAAAAAAACCACUUUAGAGAUUAAGAAAUAAAAGGUGAAAAAGAAGAAAGGACUUGACUACAAUCAUAAAGCAAGUUGUUAGCAAAGCAAGAAAGAGAAAUCCCAUAUUAAGGUGCAAAGUGCUUUCUAUUACCUAUCCCCUAUGCUUAGUUGAAAAAAAAACAAACACCCGCUUUAACAUACAUUAUGAGGCUUAUUAAAGAUGAAUCGUCUUUGAAAAA
Long non-coding RNA from Galeopterus variegatus (Sunda flying lemur), 845 nucleotides. RefSeq lists it as uncharacterized. The record is from RefSeq and is a predicted model, not a curated record. The transcript has 4 exons. Lineage: Eukaryota; Metazoa; Chordata; Mammalia; Dermoptera; Cynocephalidae.